UGGGUAACCUGCCUUAUAGUGGGGGAUAGCCUUUCGAAAGGAAGAUUAAUACCGCAUAAGAUUGUAGUAUCGCAUGAUAUAGCAAUUAAAGGAGCAAUUCGCUAUAAGAUGGACCCGCGUCGCAUUAGCUAGUUGGUGAGGUAAUGGCUCACCAAGGCGACGAUGCGUAGCCGACCUGAGAGGGUGAUCGGCCACAUUGGGACUGAGACACGGCCCAGACUCCCUACGGGAGGCAGCAUG
RNAcentral lists this ribosomal RNA (240 nucleotides) under uncultured bacterium. RNAcentral describes it as "partial 16S ribosomal RNA". It matches the Rfam family "Bacterial small subunit ribosomal RNA", at positions 118 to 353 of the family's 1533-position model. The record is from RNAcentral.